RNAcentral lists this ribosomal RNA (500 nucleotides) under uncultured bacterium. RNAcentral's name for it is "partial 16S ribosomal RNA". It matches the Rfam family "Bacterial small subunit ribosomal RNA", at positions 30 to 523 of the family's 1533-position model. The record is from RNAcentral.
AUUGAACGCUGGCGGCAGGCCUAACACAUGCAAGUCGAGCGGAUGACGGGAGCUUGCUCCUUGAUUCAGCGGCGGACGGGUGAGUAAUGCCUAGGAAUCUGCCUGGUAGUGGGGGACAACGUUUCGAAAGGAACGCUAAUACCGCAUACGUCCUACGGGAGAAAGCAGGGGACCUUCGGGCCUUGCGCUAUCAGAUGAGCCUAGGUCGGAUUAGCUAGUUGGUGGGGUAAUGGCUCACCAAGGCGACGAUCCGUAACUGGGCUGAGAGGAUGAUCAUUCACACUGGAACGGAGACACGGUCCAGACUCCUACGGGAGGCAGCAGUGGGGAAUAUUGGACAAUGGGCGAAAGCCUGAUCCAGCCAUGCCGCGUGUGUGAAGAAGGUCUUCGGAUUGUAAAGCACUUUAAGUUGGGAGGAAGGGCAGUAAGUUAAUACCUUGCUGUUUUGACGUUACCGACAGAAUAAGCACCGGCUAACUCUGUGCCAGCAGCCGCCGUAA